This 406-nucleotide ribosomal RNA is filed under the name uncultured bacterium. Its description in RNAcentral is "partial 16S ribosomal RNA". It matches the Rfam family "Bacterial small subunit ribosomal RNA", at positions 29 to 526 of the family's 1533-position model. The record is from RNAcentral.
AUUGAACGCUGGCGGCAGGCCUAACACAUGCAAGUCGAACGAGUGGCGGACGGGUGAGUAAUGUCCGGGAAACCGCCCGCUGGAGGGGGAUAACCACCGGACACGGUAGCCACUACCGCAUACCACCGGAACUGCCCAGAUGGGAUUAGCUAGUAGGUGGGGUAACGGCUCACCUAGGCGACGAUCCCUAGCUGGUCUAAGAGGAUGACCAGCCAAACUGGAAGUGAGCAACGGUCCAGACGCCUACGUGAGGCAGCAGUGGGGAAGAUUGCACAAUGGGCGCGAGCCUGAUGCAGCCAUGCCGCGUGUAUGAAGAAGGCCUUCGGGUUGUAAAGUACUUUCAGCGGGGAGGCGUUACUCGCAGAAGAAGCACCGGCUAACUACGUGCCAGCAGCCGCGGUAAUAC